This is a long non-coding RNA of Acanthochromis polyacanthus (spiny chromis), 728 nucleotides long. RefSeq lists it as uncharacterized. The record is from RefSeq and is a predicted model, not a curated record. Lineage: Eukaryota; Metazoa; Chordata; Actinopteri; Pomacentridae. The transcript has 6 exons.
UUAAUCUUAACUUGCUAUUCUGGACAUUUUCAGACAAAUAUUACCAUUUUUAUUCAGUCUGUUUUGGUCUGGGAUGGGGAAUGGCACUCUACAGGCCGUUUCGAUCACUCAUGAUCCCAUCAGUUCUUGGUGUCAUUUUCACCAUAAUCUUUGAAGUCUUUGGCAUAGUUUCUGACAUUCCAGCCCAUACAAGAAGAUGUAAAGGCCAACCUUAUGACAAAAAAGAUAUUUAUUGGGGAUUUUGUUUUGCACUGUUCGUGGCCGUCUUGAACCUCAGGUCAUAUCACGUCUACACACUGUCUUAUGGAUGUGGAAUCAUAGUGUUUUCUCUUAGGGGAGCAAUAAGGAAAUACAACUCUUUGAAGGAGCUGAGAAGGAGACAGAGCUCCAGGUGGUAGAAUGAGUUUACAGCCACAGAGGAUGGAUUUACCAGAAGUGAUUUUUUUUUCUUGGCACUUUAAAAGUCAAAGUGCAGACCUGUGAUUCAUAAUUAACUGCAAUUUCAGAUAAAUAAUUCAUGGUGCAAUAGCAACAAGCAUGUUUCAGAAACUUGAUCAGUUUUUCAGCUAGUCAUUUUGUAGUUUGUAAAGAAAAUAUGUAAGCCAACUCAGGGAUGUACAGUAAAUAAUAUAUGAUACAAAAACAUGUAUUUCACUUUUAUAAAAAAAAAAAAAAGUUGCAGUGUUCUAGUGAGUGUUGGGAAGUUAUUAGUGACAUGUACCAGUAUG